Molecule: ribosomal RNA, 423 nt
Filed under: uncultured bacterium
Lineage: Bacteria
Description: bacterial SSU rRNA
Rfam family: Bacterial small subunit ribosomal RNA
Source: RNAcentral
AAGACCUUGUGCUAUACGAGCGGCCGAUGUCGGAUUAGCUAGUUGGUAGGGUAAAGGCCUACCAAGGCAACGAUCCGUAGCGGGUCUGAGAGGAUGAUCCGCCACACUGGGACUGAGACACGGCCCAGACUCCUACGGGAGGCAGCAGUGGGGAAUUUUGGACAAUGGACGCAAGUCUGAUCCAGCCAUGCCGCGUGAGUGAAGAAGGCCUUCGGGUUGUAAAGCUCUUUUGUCCGGGAGCAAAUUCUGUCCGCUAAUAUCGGACGGAGCUGAGAGUACCGGAAGAAUAAGCACCGGCUAACUACGUGCCAGCAGCCGCGGUAAUACGUAGGGUGCGAGCGUUAAUCGGAAUUACUGGGCGUAAAGGGUGCGCAGGUGGUUAUGUAAGCUUGAUGUGAAAUCCCCGGGCUCAACCUGGGAAUU